GUGGGGUUGUUGCUCAGUGGUAGAGCGUUAGCCUAGUAUGUGUAAGGCCCUGGGUUUGAUCCUCAGCACCACA
RNAcentral lists this transfer RNA (73 nucleotides) under Marmota monax (woodchuck). RNAcentral's name for it is "tRNA.Thr". The record is from RNAcentral. Lineage: Eukaryota; Metazoa; Chordata; Mammalia; Rodentia; Sciuridae.